UUGUUUAGUUGGGGUAUUAGGUUGGUUGUGUAGGUCUGCAUAGUGCGAAAUGUAUAGUAAUUUAGAAUAAGAAUGCAUUGAGAUACCGAUCUGUCAUUACCAUGCCACUCACGACAUAAAACAGGAACAAAUGGGGGUUGUAAUGAGAAGAGUUAUUACCGGUAAUAUCUGGUCCCGUUUAUAAAUGUACCUUCUAACCGUGAUGAUGUGCCAGGCAGGUUGAGGGGGUUGAAUUCAAGUGAUAGACUCAAAAUAAAGCACUAAGGACUGGCUUUCUAAAUUUGGGUUGGAUAAUUUAUCAAAUUGUAUCAUACAAAGCAAGACUACAAAGAGGUGGGUGCACUGCUCGAAUUUAUUGGGUCUGAGGGGUUUUCUCCCCAGAAGGUUAGAGAACUCACUGGAUGAUAGCUUGAGUCAACCAGGAAAGGGUUUUUGUUUUACAAUGUCAUCAUAAUCCUAAUGUUAAAGCAUAUCAAUACAAUACAUGGAUUGCUUGAUGAUACAGUACAAUCAAUUGCAUACAAGGCUCAUAUUCUGUGUCUUGUGUUUAAUACCCAAGGAUGAAAAUCACAUUUAGUUAUAUAGCCCUUCGUACAUCAGCUGAUAUCUCAAAGUGCUGUACAGAAACCCAGCCUAAAACCCCAAACAGCAAGCAAUGCAGGUGUAGAAGCACGGUGGCUAGGAAAAACUCCAAGCAAGUCAGCACCUCAGGAGUAAAUGUCAGUUGGCUUUUUUAGCACGUCAGGGUUCCAUAGUCGCAGGCAGAACAGUUGAAACUGGAGCAGCAGCAAGGCCAGGUGGACUGGGGACAGCAAGGAGUCAUCAUGCCAGGUAGUCCUGACGCAUGGUCCUAGUGCUCAGGUCCUCCGAGAGAGAGAGAAGGAGAGAAUUAGAGAGAGCAUACUUAAAUUCACACAGGACACCGGAUAAGACAGGAGAAGUCCUCCAGAUAUAACAAACUGACCCUAGCCCCCCCCGACACAUUAACUACUGCAGCAUAAAUACUGGAGGCUGAGACAGGAGGGGUCAGGAGACACUGUGGCACCAUCUGAUGAUACCUCGGGACAGGGCCAAACAGGAAGGUUAUAACCCCACCCACUUUGCCAAAGCACAGCCCCCACACCACUAGAGGGGAAAAUCUUCAACUACCAACUUACCAUCCUGAGUCAAGGCCGAGUAUAGCCCACAAAGAUCUCCGCCACGGCACAAACCAAGGGGGGGCGCCAACCCAGACAGGAAGAUCACGUCAGAUCUUCAAAAUGAAGGAGACGGGAAUUGAGACUAGCAUCCCAUGAGCAUAGAAUAGAACAGAUGGAUGGUUCUUUCCCCAGUCUUAGUCGCAUCAAGGAUGGUGUGAAAUGAUUAAACAUGUAUUUUUUCCUCAUUCCCUGUUCAAGUCAAUAUGUUUUUAGGUGUCGUGGACAAUAAGAGUGAUCGUUGUUCCAGAUGAGGGAUUGGUGGAAAUGGACUAAUUCAUUUGAGAAUGUUUUAGUAUGGUUAUAACUGUAGUAGUGGCUAAUGUGUUAUGGUUUAGAUGGAAUGAGUUAUGUGCAAUGUGUGUGUAGCAGGAGGCGAGGUACAUAAAAGGCCUGUGUUUGAGACAGAAUGUUUACAUAAGGGUGUAAGCAGAAGGAAAUGUGACUGUGGGGGCUCAUAAAUUAAGGUUGGGGUGAUAGUUUCUGGGGAUUAUACCACUAUGUAUAUUGUUACAGGAGAUAGCUUGUAGGAGAGGGAGGACAGCUAACUGUGCACAAUAUAGAGACUAUUAGGAUGUUAAAUUGAACGUUACACAUACCCAGAUCAUGGUGAGAGUAGCAGAGAUAGUGUUGGCAUUUCAGACAGUCAAUUUUCAAGAAACCUUUUUGUUAGUUUGGAUCCUCUUCUAAUGUCAUUCAUCUCUUCCCCAUUUCUAACAGCCAGCAAACACUUGACAUAUCUCCCAGAAGAUUGGGACCGAUCUAACCUGAGCACAAGAGAGAGUAUUAUCCACAGGUAGACUGUAGUAGAAUUCAGAAGGUCAUUGGAGAUGUUGGUGGCUAGGAGACCAGGUAUGAGUUGGGAGAUAGGUAGGGAGUAUAUGUGACCUGAAACAGGAGUGCUGUUUGAACGUAAACAAAAAAAAAAAUGUAAUCAAAAUGCGCUUCGACAGAAAUGCCUUCUUGUAUGCCAUCUGUAAAUGCUAAUAAAAUUGUUAAAUUACAAGCCUAGUUGGUUUACCCACAGAAAAAGUGAGCAACCUUCCCGCUAGCAAUGAUUGGCUGAGAUAAUGAGUGGGCUAGACAUGUCGAGAGAUUAGUUUUGAUUGGUCUACCAUAUAGCACGCGUCUGUCUGUUGGAGCUGGUCAGUAUGUUUAGGUAAUCGUGUCAAAGGCGAUUUAAAAAAUAAAAUAAAAAAUAAAUAAAUAUGGAGUCGUAAAACUGCAUAAACCUAAUAUCAAGUUAAAGUGUACUGUUAGCUAGCUAACAUCAGCUGGCUGGCUCGCUAAUUAACAUUACGUUGUGCAUUGGGAUUCAUUGUUUACCUAGCUAUCUAUCUAGCUACAUUUCUUAACAAAAGACUCGUCUUAGUGUGGCAGACCGCAGAAUAACUGAUACAUUUUUGAACGCUCAACACCCGUUGAAUAUGUUUGGUGUCAGUAAAUGUCGGCAACAAAGCGUAAUUCAAUUGUUGACUCCAACACAGUUAGUCACCAACGCUCUGGAUAACAUGAAAAAAGCCUAACCAGCUCUGCUAGCGUGAGUAAAAUGGUCAGAGUGGGGUGUUCUCUCAUUAUGAGUCUGGAAGUAGUUCGCCAAUGUUAGCCAGUUAGCUUGGGUGCUUGACUGUUGUUGUGAGAUCAAAGCUUUCGGAACAACCCUACUCUUAUUGGCCAGAGCGUCCAGUGUGCGCUCUGAACGCGAAACCACAGAUAGGGCGAGUAAUGUUCAGUGAGUCACAUGGAAGGGUCAGUCCUAGAUCUAUCAGUAAACCACGAACAGUAGAAGAGCAGGAGGAAGAUUCCAUGCAGUAGUUAUUUUUCACAGCAAUAGCUGUAGGGACAGUAAUUGAAGAAUACAAUGGUAACAGCAUGGAAUUGGAUUACGGUGCAAAUUAGGGAUUUUGAGGUAUGCGUCAUGGGCAGUGUCAGUAGUAGCAGGGGUUAUUUUAGUAGCAUUGUUGGGAUAUCAUUUGAGGACUCAUGCCACAUGAAGUGGUAACUGGGAGACUGAUGGGAGUAUCGGGUGCUGUUAUUCAGUCACAAAUUAGUGAUCUGGCCAUAAUUGGAGAGUCUGUUGUCAGGAAAUGACCCAUGCAUUGCAGAGCAUGGUCUGAAUUCUGGAGAUUGAGUGUACAUCAAGCAUACCACCCUGCAUACCAUUGCUGGCUUGCUUCUGAAGCUAAGCAGGGUUGGUCCUGGUCAGUCCCUUGAUGGGAGACCAGAUGCUGCUGGAAGUUGUGUUGGAGGGCCAGUAGGAGGCACUCUUUCCUCUGGUCUAAAAAAUAUCUCAAUGCCCCAGGGCAGUGAUUGGGGACACUGCCCUGUGUAGGGUGCUGUCUUUCGGAAGGGGUGUCCUGACUCUGAGGUCUUUAAAGAUCCCAUGGCACUUGUUGUAAGAGUAGGGGUGUUAACCCCAGUGUCCUGGCUAAAUUCCCAAUCUGGCCCUCAAACCAUCACCUAAUAAUCCCCAGUUUACAAUUGGCUCAUUCAUCCCCCUCCUCUCCCCUGUAACUAUUCACCAGGUUGUUGCUGUAAAUGAGAAUGUGUUUUCAGUCAACUUACCUGGUAAAAUAAUGGAAAAAUAGAAACACCAGGUGGGGGUGUUGGGACAGCUUUGGUUUGGUCCACACACAGUACUCCCUGCAGCGGUACAGAUAGUCAUGCAUUCAGGGGUAAGAGACUAUGGCACUCCUCAUGUCUCGUAUAAAUCAUGAUUACCAAUAUUUAGGGUUUAGAAAUCCGAACCCAUCAGUCCAUCCUCUUGAACAUUUGCUUCCUACUGUUCAACUUACAUAAACUUGGAAAUUACGUAUAUUACCGUUCAAAAAUUUGAGGUCAAUAAUGAACAUGUAAUAUAUUUAAUCUGCGCUGAACUUAAAACUGUUCCAUCUUAGAUUUCACAUCCUCAAGAGGUCACAACACCAGAGACGGUCCAGGAUUUGCCUCCUCUCUCAAGCAUCUUGUUGACCGUUCUCCUCAAAUCGCCCCCGGUCACAAGGACCUGAGCCCUAGGACCAUGCCUCAGGACUACCUGGCAUGAUGACUCCUUGCUGUCCCCAGUCCACCUGGCCGUGCUGCUGCUCCAGUUUCAACUGUUCUGCCUGCGGCUAUGGAACCCUGACCUGUUCACCGGACGUGCUACCUGUCCCAGACCUGCUGUUUUCAACUCUCUAGAGACAGCAGGAGCAGUAGAGAUACUCUUAAUGAUCGGCUAUGAAAAGCCAACUGACAUUUACUCCUGAGGUGCUGACUUGCUGCACCCUCAACAACUACUGUGAUUAUUAUUAUUUGACCAUGCUGGUCAUUUAUGAACAUCUUGGCCAUGUUCUGUUAUAAUCUCCACCCGCCACAGCCAGAAGAGGACUGGCCACCCCUCAUAGCCUGGUUCCUCUCUAGGUUUCUUCCUAGGUUUUGGCCUUUCUAGGGAGUUUUUCCUAGCCACCGUGCUUCUACACCUACAUUGCUUGCUGUUUGGGGUUUUAGGCUGGGUUUCUGUACAGCACUUUGAGAUAUCAGCUGAUGUAAGAAGGGCUAUAUAAAUACAUUUGAUUUGAUUUGUUAAGGUUGCUACAAUAUGCACUUGUUGUUUGAACAAUUUAUUGUUGGAAAUGUAGUGUGUAUGCUUUUAGUUACACUACCAUUCAAACGUUUGGGGUCACUUAGAAAUCUCCUUGUUUUUUAAGAAUUUUUUUUCCCCAUCCAUUUAAAAUAACAUCAAAUUCAUCAGAAGUACAGUGUAGACAUUGUUAAUGUUGUAAAAUACUAUUGUAGCUGGAAACUGCAGAUUUCUUUAUGGAAUACUGUGCCUUGCAAAAGUAUUCAUCACCCUUGGCAUUUUUCCUAUUUUGUUGCAUUACAACCUGUAAUUUAAAUGGAUUUCUAUUUGAAUUUCAUGUAAUGGACAUACACAAAAUAGUCCAAAUUGGUGAAGUGAAAUAACUUGUUUCAAAAAAAACUGAAAAGUGGUGCGUGCAUAUGUAUUCACCCCCUUUGCUAUUAAGCCCAUAAAUAUGAUCUGGUGCAACCAAUUACCUUCAGAAGUCACAUAAUUAGUUAAAUAAAGUCAACCUGUGUGCAAUCUAAGUGUCACAUGAUCUCAGUGUAUAUACACCUGUUCUGAAAGGCCCUGGAGUCUGCAACACCACUAAGCAAGGUGCACCACCAACCAAGCGGUACCAUGAAGACCAAGGAGCUCUCCUGACCCGUCUCUAGGCUCUACACCAGAAGUUAAUGGUUAUCUGUAGGAAUGUAUAUGGUGGAUGCAUUUUAAGCUUGGAAUGUACUGAGUGAAGGAAAGAUAAUCACAUGUUGGCAGACACUUAUAAAGAUGGAGAGAUGUGGAUUAGUGAGGAAGGAGGUCCAGGUCAGGUCAACCUUAAAAGGGAGAAGGAACAGUUUAUUGCCUAUAUCACUUAACUUCCUGCCUAGCAAUAAAGAUGUAAUGUUUCGAGAGGAGGAGACUCCACCCAAAUUGGGUAUAUAUGCUACCACUUGUGGAAAUAUGUUUUUGUCUGUUCAGCUGUUCAAACCUUUCGGUGAAUAAACUUGGUUGGAGCUUU
This is a long non-coding RNA of Salvelinus fontinalis (brook trout), 5758 nucleotides long. RefSeq lists it as uncharacterized. NCBI's taxonomy places the organism in Eukaryota, Metazoa, Chordata, Actinopteri, Salmoniformes, Salmonidae. The record is from RefSeq and is a predicted model, not a curated record. The transcript is spliced from 2 exons.